RNAcentral lists this ribosomal RNA (684 nucleotides) under Triticum aestivum (bread wheat). RNAcentral describes it as "partial small subunit ribosomal RNA". The record is from RNAcentral. Lineage: Eukaryota; Viridiplantae; Streptophyta; Magnoliopsida; Poales; Poaceae.
GCGUUCGGCAGCCCGUUCGCGCACCGCGUAGAGGUGGCGCUGACGCUCAAGCGGGUGCCGUACGAGCUGCUCGUGGAGGACCUGGCCAACAAGAGCGACCUGCUGCUCGCCCACAACCCCGUCCACCAGUCGGUGCCCGUCCUCCUCCACGGCGACCGCGCCGUCUGCGAGUCCCUCCUCAUCGUCGAGUACGUGGACAAGGCCUUCCACGACGACGACGAGGGGAGGGCGCCACGGCUCCUCCCGGCGGACCACUACGACCGCGCCACAGCCCGCUUCUGGGCUGACUUCAUCGCCAACAAGUGCUUGAAGCCGCUGUGGCAGGCGAUGUGGACGGACGGCGAGGAGCAGGCGCGGCUGACGAGGGAGACCAAGGAGAGCCUGGGGAUCCUGGAAGCACAGCUGGAGGGGAAGAGGUUCUUCGGGGGCGACGCACUCGGUUUCGUCGACCUCGCCGCAUGCACGCUGGCUCACUGGCUCGGCGUGCUGGAGGAAGUCACCGGGGGCGGGGUGCGCCUGAUGAAGGAUGGCGAGUACCCUGCUCUGCGCCGGUGGGCCAAGGAGUACACCUCCGACGAGGUCGUCAGGCGGUCCCUGCCGGACAGGGACGAGCUCGUCGCCUACUUCACCAAAAACAAGGAGAGGUACAGGUCGUCGAUGGUCAAGGCAGCAGCGGUGCAGUGA